GCUAGCGCAGUGUCGCAGGGAAGCCGUUAAGUUUGCCGCCUGGGAAGUACGUACGCAAGUAUGAAACUUAAAGGAAUUGGCGGGGGAGCACCACAAGGGGUGAAGCCUGCGGUUCAAUUGGAGUCAACGCCUGAAACCUUACCCGGAGAGACAGCAGAAUGAAGGUCAAGCUGAAGACUUUACCAGACAAGCUGAGAGGUGGUGCAUGGCCGUCGCCAGCUCGUGCCGUGAGAUGUCCUGUUAAGUCAGGUAACGAGCGAGAUCCCUGCCUCUAGUUGCCACUAUUACACCCUGGUGUAGUAGGGCGAAUUAGGGGGACCGCCGCAGUUAAUGCGGAGGAAGGAAGGGGCCACGGCAGGUCAGUAUGCCCCGAAACUCUGGGGCCACACGCGGGCUGCAAUGGUAACGACAAUGAGUUCCAAAAUCGAAAGAUAGAGGUAAUCCCUAAACGUUACCACAGUUGUGAUUGAGGGCUGCAACUCGCCCUCAUGAACAUGGAAUCCCUAGUAACCGCGUGUCAUUAUCGCGCAGUGAAUACGUCCCUGCUCCUUGCACACACCGCCCGUCGUUUCAUUGAAGUUUGCCUUUAGCGAGGUGAUGUCUAAUUGGCAUUAUCGAACUUGGGGUAAGUGACAAGGGAAAAGUCGUAACAAGGUGACCGUAGGGGAACCUGCGGUCG
RNAcentral lists this ribosomal RNA (679 nucleotides) under marine metagenome. RNAcentral describes it as "bacterial SSU rRNA". It matches the Rfam family "Archaeal small subunit ribosomal RNA", at positions 789 to 1467 of the family's 1478-position model. The record is from RNAcentral.